CACACUAAAAAAUCCUGGGUUAUUUUUUCUACCCAAGUGCUGGGUUGAGCCAUUUGGGUAAAUUUUUUGGGUUAUUUUCUCAGUCUUGGGUAGUUUUUGGGUAGUUCUAUGUAACCCAACCACUGGGUUAUUUUCUGGGUCGUUUUCACUGAGAGCUGAAUCAAUGCACCCCCUCCCCCACUCGGACGCAAUAACCCAGCUCAUUGGGUCAAAUCAACUCCGCGCAGGAUCAGCGCAGCGCGGGCUGACUGAAUUCGAGGUGGAGGUGGAUGCCACACACACGCUGUAAUAUUUGGAGAAAUAAGACCUGCUCUCGACUGUCCGUGGUGGCAAAUCCACAGCCUUUCGCUGGAGUAGAAUCAACCGUAUCUGAAGAGAGAGCUGAGGAAAUUAAACAAUGGCUGAGAAACAACACACAGCCCAUCAGCCAGGUGGAACAGUACAUCUGAAAAAUAUGUUUGAGGUCCUCCAUGAGUUUCCUCGGCUAACUACCUCAGGCAUGAUUGCACAGGACUUUCACAUUUUACAUUAAGAUGAAGCCCCAAAACUGUUUGAAAAAUGGCUGGUAUACUGACAGGAUCUUGCUUUUUGUGAGCGAGAAGCAAAGCUUUCAUGUACAGCUGAAGAAAUGACAGAAGAUGCAAAGGGAAAUCUUGCACUAAAGCUAUUUACCUGUUUUGCUUCUACCUCCACCCUACAAAAUUGGCAGAAAAACAGUCCAACCCAGCAUUGAUGAAAUCAAAAAAGCUUUCAUUGACAUUCAGCCUGUUGGAACAAAUAUGGUGGAGUACCUCCAGCAGGCUGAAGCAUCAAGACCUUACCCUUAUGUCCUGUAACUUGAAAAUGGACACAUUGCGUCGCGGGCAUUUGUCAUCCUCGCAGGAGAAGCUUUGGAACAAAGAACUAUUGUUUAAGGGGAAGUCAUGGCCUAAUGGUUAGAGAGUUGGACUCGCAAUUUAAGGGUUGUGAGUUCGAGUCUCGGGCCGACAGGAAUUGUAGGUGAGAGGAGUGAAUGUAUAGUGCUCUCUCCACCCUCAAUACCACGACUUAGGUGCCCUUGAGCAAGGCAUCGAACCCCCAACUGCUCCCCGGGCGCCGCAGCAUAAAUGGCUGCCCACUGCUCCGGGUGUGUGCUCACAGUGUGUGUGUGUGUUCACUGCUCUGUGUGUGUGCACUUCGGAUGGGUUAAAUGCAGAGCGUGAAUUCUGAGUAUGGGUCACCAUACUUGGCUGAAUGUCACAUUACUUUCACUUCAUUGGGACAGUAAAUGUAUGUUUCAAAUCGUUUUAUGUUUUUGAUGUAAACUAACCGAAACAUUGUUUCUAUAUUAGGGAGUUUAUUCAUAAUAUUUUUGAGUUGGAGGGAAGUGAAUCCCCAACAGUGAAAUUUUUGCACUGGGCACUACAUUCUUGCAAGUAGAUUAUAAGAGGUUCUUUGAACAAACAGUGGUUCAAGAACACGAGGUAGCAUUUUAGUUUAAGUUUUAUUUGCACAUGAGAUUUUUGUUCUGUUUUUUUUUUUUUGUAUAAACAACUGUUUUAUUGCUUGAGGAAGAGUAUUACUUUAUGCGUACUGAUGAUUAUCAAUUACAUUUUUACGUAGAAAUCUUUUACUGCCAAUACGUUGUAUUUCAUAGAUUUAUUUUUGUGUUCAUUUUGUAGACUUAAAACAACAGGUCCAUAAUGUAGACUUAAAACAAAUGUGCUUUGUAACAAACAGUUCUUGAGGUAAAGUAUUUUAGUUUUAAUUUCAUGUGCAUAUGGAUUAUUUAAAAAUAAGUAUUUAUUUGUAUAUUUAAAAAAAAAGGUUUUUUGGAGUUCAUGAAUUUCAUGAGCAUAUGGAUUAAAAAUAAUAUGAAUUAUUUUUUAAAUGUAUUACUAAACCUUGUGGUUCUUUGGAGUUUAUGAAUUCAAAUGUUUUUUUCUAAACAUUUACAGUUUAGAAAAGUUACAGAGGCAAACCAUAAAAAUGAAAGAAAUUGUUUUAAAUACUGUUUAUAAAUGGAAUUUUAUUUUUUUAGUUUUGUAUGAUCUCUUGAAUUUUUGGUUGAGGUAAAGUGUAAAAAGUGUAAUGUGCUGAAAUAAAA
This is a long non-coding RNA of Carassius gibelio (silver crucian carp), 2086 nucleotides long. RefSeq lists it as uncharacterized. NCBI's taxonomy places the organism in Eukaryota, Metazoa, Chordata, Actinopteri, Cypriniformes, Cyprinidae. The transcript is spliced from 6 exons. The record is from RefSeq and is a predicted model, not a curated record.